This is a non-coding RNA of Firmicutes bacterium GWF2_51_9, 87 nucleotides long. Lineage: Bacteria; Bacillati; Bacillota. The record is from Rfam.
CAUGCUACCGCAAUGGAAUCCUACGAACCAGGUCAGGGUCGGAAGACAGCAGCCUUAAGAGGCUCUUUCAUGUGUGGUAGCUUUUUU